GGGGGUGAGUGGCGCACGGGUGCGUAACGCGUGGGAAUGUGCCCCUGGGUGCGGAAUAACGUCUGGAAACGGUCGCUAAUACCGCAUAAUGACUCCGGUCCAAAGAUUUAUCGCCCAGGGAUCAGCCCGCGUCAGAUUAGAUUGUUGGUGGGGUAACGGCCUACCAAGUCUACGAUCUGUAGGGGGUCUGAGAGGAUGAUCCCCCACACUGGUACUGAGACACGGACCAGACUCCUACGGGAGGCAGCAGUGAGGAAUAUUGGACAAUGGGGGCAACCCUGAUCCAGCCAUGCCGCGUGAGUGAAGAAGGCCUUAGGGUUGUAAAGCUCUUUCAAUGGUGAAGAUAAUGACGGUAGCCAUACAAGAAGCCCCGGCUAAAUUCGUGCCAGCAGCCGCGGUAAUACGAAUGGGGCAAGCGUUGUUCGGAAUCACUGGGCUUAAAGCGUAUGUAGGCGGAAACGAAAGUCAGGAGUGAAAUCCCGGGGCUCAACCCCGGAACUGCUCUUGAAACUUCGUUUCUAGAAUCCUGGAGAGGUUGGGAGAAUUCCUAGUGUAGAGGUGAAAUUCGCAGAUAUUAGGAGGAAUACCAGUGGCGUAAGCGCCCAACUGGACAGGUAUUGACGCUCAGAUACGAAAGCGUGGGGAGCAAACAGGAUUAGAUACCCUGGUAGUCCACGCCG
RNAcentral lists this ribosomal RNA (680 nucleotides) under uncultured Pseudomonadota bacterium. RNAcentral describes it as "bacterial SSU rRNA". It matches the Rfam family "Bacterial small subunit ribosomal RNA", at positions 87 to 802 of the family's 1533-position model. Lineage: Bacteria; Pseudomonadati; Pseudomonadota. The record is from RNAcentral.